GAUGAACGCUAGCGGCAGGCCUAACACAUGCAAGUCGAGGGGUAUAGUUCUUCGGAACUAGAGACCGGCGCACGGGUGCGUAACGCGUAUGCAAUCUACCUUUUACAGGGGAAUACCCCAGAGAAAUUUGGAUUAAUGCCCCAUAGUGUUAUAGAAUCGCAUGGUUUUAUAACUAAAGUUCCAACGGUAAAAGAUGAGCAUGCGUCCCAUUAGUUAGUUGGUAAGGUAACGGCUUACCAAGACAAUGAUGGGUAGGGGUCCUGAGAGGGAGAUCCCCCACACUGGUACUGAGACACGGACCAGACUCCUACGGGAGGCAGCAGUGAGGAAUAUUGGACAAUGGGCGCAAGCCUGAUCCAGCCAUGCCGCGUGCAGGAAGACGGUCCUAUGGAUUGUAAACUGCUUUUGUACAGGAAGAAACACUCCCUCGUGAGGGAGCUUGACGGUACUGUAAGAAUAAGGAUCGGCUAACUCCGUG
RNAcentral lists this ribosomal RNA (478 nucleotides) under uncultured bacterium. RNAcentral describes it as "bacterial SSU rRNA". It matches the Rfam family "Bacterial small subunit ribosomal RNA", at positions 28 to 507 of the family's 1533-position model. The record is from RNAcentral.